CGUCUCCUGGGGUGCCGGCCAGCUUCCGUCAUCCUUGAGCCGUUAUAGAAACCUAAGGAGAUCUGGCGUCGGCGCCGGUGUGCAGACCCAACCGAUCACCCGCGAGCUUGGUCCCGCGGGAGUUCGCGGGAAGCCUUAAGAGCCGCCCGGAUCCCCGCCUUGAACCGGAACGGUUCAGGGUAACCAAGCAGCCGCAUCACCGGGAGACAA
RNAcentral lists this non-coding RNA (210 nucleotides) under Pseudomonadales bacterium. RNAcentral describes it as "6S RNA". It matches the Rfam family "6S / SsrS RNA". From Rfam's summary of the family: E. coli 6S RNA was the first non coding RNA to be sequenced, but its function was unknown until recently. It consists of 184 nucleotides that fold into an extended hairpin structure with a large single-stranded internal bulge. The 6S RNA specifically associates with RNA polymerase holoenzyme containing the sigma70 specificity factor. The record is from RNAcentral. Lineage: Bacteria; Pseudomonadati; Pseudomonadota; Gammaproteobacteria; Pseudomonadales.